This 333-nucleotide ribosomal RNA is filed under the name uncultured Bacillota bacterium. RNAcentral's name for it is "bacterial SSU rRNA". It matches the Rfam family "Bacterial small subunit ribosomal RNA", at positions 29 to 351 of the family's 1533-position model. Lineage: Bacteria; Bacillati; Bacillota. The record is from RNAcentral.
AGUUAACGUUGGCGGCGUGCCUAACACAUGCAAGUCGAGCGAAUCUUGAGGUGCUUGCACCUCUUGGUUAGCGGCGGACGGGUGAGUAACACGUGGGCAACCUGCCUGUAAGACUGGGAUAACACCGGGAAACCGGUGCUAAUACCGGAUAAUCCUUUUCCUCUCAUGAGGAAAAGCUGAAAGUCGGUUUACGCUGACACUUACAGAUGGGCCCGCGGCGCAUUAGCUAGUUGGUGAGGUAACGGCUCACCAAGGCGACGAUGCGUAGCCGACCUGAGAGGGUGAUCGGCCACACUGGGACUGAGACACGGCCCAGACUCCUACGGGAGGCAG